UGAGGAAUAUUGGUCCAUGGCCGAGAGGCUGAACCCGCCAAGUCCCGUGAGGGAUGAAGGUUCUAUGGAUCGUAAACCUCUUUUAUAAGGGAAUAAAGUGCGGGACGUGUCCCGUUUUGUAUGUACCUUAUGAAUAAGGAUCGGCUAACUCCGUGCCAGCAGCCGCGGUAAUACGGAGGAUCCGAGCGUUAUCCGGAUUUAUUGGGUUUAAAGGGUGCGUAGGCGGCCUUUUAAGUCAGCGGUGAAAGUCUGUGGCUCAACCAUAGAAUUGCCGUUGAAACUGGGGGGCUUGAGUAUGUUUGAGGCAGGCGGAAUGCGUGGUGUAGCGGUGAAAUGCAUAGAUAUCACGCAGAACCCCGAUUGCGAAGGCAGCCUGCCAAGCCAUUACUGACGCUGAUGCACGAAAGCGUGGGGAUCAAACAGGAUUAGAUACCCUGGUAGUCCACGCAGUAAACGAUGAUCACUAGCUGUUUGCGAUACACUGUAAGCGGCACAGCGAAAGCGUUAAGUGAUCCACCUGGGGAGUACGCCGGCAACGGUGAAACUCAAAGGAAUUGACGGGGGCCCGCACAAGCGGAGGAACAUGUGGUUUAAUUCGAUGAUACGCGAGGAACCUUACCCGGGUUUGAACGCAUUCGGACCGAGGUGGAAACACCUUUUCUAGCAAUAGCCGUUUGCGAGGUGCUGCAUGGUUGUCGUCAGCUCGUGCCGUGAGGUGUCGGCUUAAGUGCCAUAACGAGCGCAACCCUUGCCACUAGUUACUAACAGGUAAAGCUGAGGACUCUGGUGGGACUGCCAGCGUAAGCUGCGAGGAAGGCGGGGAUGACGUCAAAUCAGCACGGCCCUUACAUCCGGGGCGACACACGUGUUACAAUGGCGUGGACAAAGGGAGGCCACCUGGCGACAGGGAGCGAAUCCCCAAACCACGUCUCAGUUCGGAUCGGAGUCUGCAACCCGACUCCGUGAAGCUGGAUUCGCUAGUAAUCGCGCAUCAGCCAUGGCGCGGUGAAUACGUUCCC
This 1019-nucleotide ribosomal RNA is filed under the name uncultured bacterium. RNAcentral's name for it is "bacterial SSU rRNA". It matches the Rfam family "Bacterial small subunit ribosomal RNA", at positions 355 to 1375 of the family's 1533-position model. The record is from RNAcentral.